RNAcentral lists this ribosomal RNA (229 nucleotides) under uncultured bacterium. RNAcentral's name for it is "partial 16S ribosomal RNA". It matches the Rfam family "Bacterial small subunit ribosomal RNA", at positions 568 to 796 of the family's 1533-position model. The record is from RNAcentral.
UCCGUAGGUGGAUAAUUAAGUCAGAGGUGAAAUCCUGCAGCUCAACUGUAGAAUUGCCUUUGAUACUGGUUAUCUUGAGUUAUUAUGAAGUAGUUAGAAUAUGUAGUGUAGCGGUGAAAUGCAUAGAUAUUACAUAGAAUACCGAUUGCGAAGGCAGAUUACUAAUAAUACACUGACACUGAUGGACGAAAGCGUGGGGAGCGAACAGGAUUAGAUACCCUGGUAGUCC